RNAcentral lists this ribosomal RNA (928 nucleotides) under uncultured organism. RNAcentral's name for it is "bacterial SSU rRNA". It matches the Rfam family "Bacterial small subunit ribosomal RNA", at positions 13 to 950 of the family's 1533-position model. The record is from RNAcentral.
UUGAUCCUGGCUCCGAACGAACGUCUGGCGGCGUGCCUCAUACAUGCAAGUCGAGCGAGAAAGUUCCCUUCGGGGAAUGAGUAAAGCGGCAAACGGGUGAGUAACACGUGGGAAACUUGCCCUUCGGUGGGGGAUAAGCGCUCGAAAGGGGGUCUAAUACCGCAUAACAUCGGAAGAUCGCAUGGUCUACCGAUCAAAGCAGCAAUGCACCGGAGGAUAGUCCCGCGCCUGAUUAGCUUGUUGGUAGGGUAAAAGCCUACCAAGGCAACGAUCAGUAGCCGGCCUGAGAGGGUGAUCGGCCACACUGGGACUGAGAUACGGCCCAGACUCCUACGGGAGGCAGCAGUAGGGAAUAUUGCGCAAUGGCCUAACGGCUGACGCAGCAACGCCGCGUGGAUGAUGAAGCUUUUCGGAGUGUAAAAUCCUUUCAGCAGGGAAGAAUAUCUUGACGGUACCUGCAGAAGAAGUCCCGGCCAACUCCGUGCCAGCAGCCGCGGUAACACGGGGGGGACAAGCGUUGUUCGGAUUCACUGGGCGUAAAGCGCUCGUAGGUGGGCUGGAUAGUCGGAUGUGAAAACCUGAGGCUUAACUUCAGGCCUGCAUCCGAAACUGCCAGUCUUGAGUACUGGAGAGGGUGGCGGAAUUCCUGGUGUAGCGGUGAAAUGCGUAGAUAUCAGGAGGAACACCGAUGGCGAAGGCAGCCACCUGGACAGAUACUGACACUGAGGGGCGAAGGCUAGGGUAGCAAACAGGAUUAGAUACCCUGGUAGUCCUAGCGGUAAACGAUGGGCACUAGGUGUUGGCGGUAUCGACCCCGCCAGUGCCGCAGCAAACGCAUUAAGUGCCCCGNCUGGGGAGUACGGUCGCAAGAUUGAAACUCAAAGGAAUUGACGGGGGCCCGCACAAGCGGUGGAGUAUGUGGUUCAAU